UGGGGAAUUUUGGACAAUGGGNGCAAGCCUGAUCCAGCCAUGCCGCGUGUGUGAAGAAGGCCUUCGGGUUGUAAAGCACUUUUGUCCGGAANGAAAUCGNGNNGGUUAAUACCUGGNGNGGAUGACGGUACCGGNAGAAUAAGCACCGGCUAACUACGUGCCAGCAGCCGCGGUAAUACGUAGGGUGCAAGCGUUAAUCGGAAUUACUGGGCGUAAAGCGUGCGCAGGCGGUUUUGUAAGNCAGAUGUGAAAUCCCCGGGCUCAACCUGGGAACUGCAUUUGAGACUGNNAGGCUAGAGUGCGNNAGAGGGGGGUGGAAUUCCACGUGUAGCAGUGAAAUGCGUAGAUAUGUGGAGGAACACCGAUGGCGAAGGCAGCCCCCUGGACCGNGACUGACGCUCANGNACGAAAGCGUGGGGAGCAAA
RNAcentral lists this ribosomal RNA (425 nucleotides) under beta proteobacterium SCGC AAA487-O23. Its description in RNAcentral is "partial 16S small subunit ribosomal RNA". It matches the Rfam family "Bacterial small subunit ribosomal RNA", at positions 355 to 772 of the family's 1533-position model. Lineage: Bacteria; Pseudomonadati; Pseudomonadota; Betaproteobacteria. The record is from RNAcentral.